This 31-nucleotide non-coding RNA is filed under the name Rattus norvegicus (Norway rat). Lineage: Eukaryota; Metazoa; Chordata; Mammalia; Rodentia; Muridae. The record is from RNAcentral.
UGGGAUUGCUUCUCCUGUUCCAUUUGGGCAU